AAAAUUUUUAUUUUUCUACUUUCAUUUCUUAAGGCUUUUCGCAUCCCUACUCAAAUACUUCAUUUCCCCGCUUUGCAAAUCCCUAAUCCUAACUCGUCUCUUGCAGCCUCCCUCCUAUCUCAUCUGGGCUUUCCAUGUCUCGUUCACUGAGAGGGCUUCUGCCUCUGGUUACCUCCCUCCUACCUCUUUAUCCCAUUUCUAUUAUUGGCUAUUGCUUUCACUGCUGGUUACUCUUUCAUAUAUAAUAGACAGAGGGUCAUUUUGUUGCUGUAGUGAACAAGAAUUUGAGACUUGCUAUCCCUGAUUAUUGUCCCCUUUCCAUGAGGGCGUUGAUUGAUCAAUGUUGGUCUGUGCAACCGGACAAGAGGCCCAAGUUUUGGCAGAUUGUGAAGGUAUUGUGAAGGCUUUGGCAGAUUGUGAAAGAUCAUGCAUUUGUGCCUAUUGUUGUCAUUAAUAACUCGGGUGAUUGCAUUUGUGCUGCCUCUAUAUAUAUGAUUUUCUUUUCAUACCAUAACCAUCAAUAGUGCCAUUUUCUAUGUUUAUGUCUCAUGUUUGAAUUCCCCCGCUCUCUCUCUCUCUCUUCUGCAACACAAUAAUACCUUUGGCGAUAGUCGUGAUACAAAGAAAGUUGACAUUCCUAGAUAUGCUGAAAUUCUACCCAAAUGAGUGAUGAAGUUGGAGCUGUGUUUCUAAUGAAGAGAAAGGUUCCGAUGAAGAGGAGUUUUACAAUGCUGAAAGGAAUUCCUAUCUUUUGUGUAUUCAGGGUUUAAAUCUUAUGUAACUAAUGCUUAACGCAAACAAAUUUUUUUGUAUAUCCACGCUAUUAAGUAGCCAACUAUACUAUAGCACUGCCUUGCACGUGUAUUCAAAAAUAUGUAAUGAAAUUAUCAAUUUUUAUGCAAUUACAAAAUUUGUCAUUUUCAA
Olea europaea var. sylvestris is the source of this 924-nucleotide long non-coding RNA. RefSeq lists it as uncharacterized. The transcript is spliced from 3 exons. The record is from RefSeq and is a predicted model, not a curated record. NCBI's taxonomy places the organism in Eukaryota, Viridiplantae, Streptophyta, Magnoliopsida, Lamiales, Oleaceae.